RNAcentral lists this ribosomal RNA (1524 nucleotides) under Triticum aestivum (bread wheat). Its description in RNAcentral is "partial small subunit ribosomal RNA". The record is from RNAcentral. Lineage: Eukaryota; Viridiplantae; Streptophyta; Magnoliopsida; Poales; Poaceae.
AUGAUGGAUGAGAGGAGGACUAUCUUGAUGGGCCGUUAUGAAAUCGGGAAGCAAUUGGGACAAGGAACUUUUGCGAAGGUCUAUUAUGCCCGAAGUCUUGCAACUGGCCAAGCUGUUGCUAUAAAGAUGAUCAACAAAGAUAAGGUUACGAAGGUUGGACUUAUGGAGCAGAUAAAGAGGGAGAUUUCAGUAAUGAGAUUGGUGAAGCACCCAAAUGUCCUGCAGCUUUUUGAGGUUAUGGCUACCAAGAGCAAGAUUUAUUUUGUAUUGGAGUAUGCUAAAGGUGGUGAGCUUUUCAACAAGAUAGUAAAGGAGGGGAAGCUUAAUGAGGAUGCCGCCAGGAGGUAUUUCCACCAAUUGAUCAGUGCUAUUGACUAUUGCCACAGCAGGGGCGUUUAUCACCGUGAUCUGAAGCCUGAAAAUCUACUCCUGGAUGAGAAUGAAAACCUAAAAGUCUCGGAUUUUGGUUUGAGUGCCCUGGCUGAUUGCGCAAGGCAGGAUGGUCUCCUCCACACCACAUGUGGAACUCCAGCUUAUGUUGCCCCUGAAGUGCUUAGCAGGAAAGGUUAUGAUGGUGCAAAAGCAGAUGUAUGGUCCAGUGGAGUAAUUCUGUUUGUGCUUGUGGCUGGUUACCUUCCCUUUCAUGAGGCAAAUCUCAUAGAGAUGUAUAGAAGGAUCUCCAAAGCGGACUUUAAAUGCCCUCGGUAUUUUUCCGCUGAGUUGAAGGAUCUAUUACAUAAAAUCCUUGAUCCAGAUCCCAGUACUAGGAUUCCAAUCUCUAGGAUAAAGAGAAGUGCUUGGUACAGAAGACCAGUUGAGGUAAAUGCAAAGAAAACUGAGCCUGAAGCAACGCACAACACCUUUUCAGCUGAAGCUGCGUCAUCAGGCUCAACAGGAUGCAGCACUUCUGAGGGAAAUCAAGGGUCGUUAAGCCUCCCGAACCUGAAUGCAUUUGACAUCAUCUCUCUGUCAACAGGGUUCAAUCUAUCUGGGUUUUUUGAGGAGGAGUAUGCUCGCAGGGAAGAACGAUUUACCACUAGGCAGCCUGUAACAAUAGUACUUGCAAAGUUGAAGGAACUGGCCAAACGCUUGAAGCUAAAAAUUAAGAAGAAAGAAAAUGGAGUCCUGAAGUUGGCUGCUCCAAAGGAAGGAAAGAAGGGGUUUCUUGAGCUUGAUGCCGAGAUUUUUGAGGUAGCCCCUUCUUUUCUCCUAGUUGAGUUGAAAAAGACUAAUGGAGACACUUUGGAGUAUCAAAAGCUGGUGAAAGAGGAAGUAAGGCCAGCACUCAAGGAUAUUGUAUGGGUAUGGCAAGGUGAUCAGCAGCAGCGGUCAGAGCCGAUUCUGCAAGGGGAGCAGCAUCACUCACCGUCGCCAACACAGCAGCCACAUGAUGAGUUGCAACCACCAUUGCAACAGCAAGAGGGACAGGAUCAGUUGCACCCACCUUUACAACCACAGGAGCAGCAGGACUUGCAGGAACAACCACCAUUGCCACCACAGAAUGGCUUCAAACACCAAGAUUGA